RNAcentral lists this ribosomal RNA (435 nucleotides) under uncultured bacterium. Its description in RNAcentral is "partial 16S ribosomal RNA". It matches the Rfam family "Bacterial small subunit ribosomal RNA", at positions 29 to 507 of the family's 1533-position model. The record is from RNAcentral.
AGCGAACGCUGGCGGCAGGCUUAACACAUGCAAGUCGAGCGGGCACUUUCGGGUGUCAGCGGCGGACGGGUGAGUAACGCGUGGGAACGUGCCCUCUGGUUCGGAAUAACUCAGGGAAACUUGAGCUAAUACCGGAUACGCCCUUUUGGGGAAAGGCUUGCUGCCGGAGGAUCGGCCCGCGUCUGAUUAGCUAGUUGGUGAGGUAACGGCUCACCAAGGCUACGAUCAGUAGCUGGUCUGAGAGGAUGAUCAGCCACACUGGGACUGAGACACGGCCCAGACUCCUACGGGAGGCAGCAGUGGGGAAUAUUGGACAAUGGGCGCAAGCCUGAUCCAGCCAUGCCGCGUGAGUGAUCAAGGCCUUAGGGUUGUAAAGCUCUUUUAUCCGGGACGAUAAUGACGGUACCGGAGGAAUAAGCCCCGGCUAACUUCGUG